This 498-nucleotide ribosomal RNA is filed under the name uncultured bacterium. RNAcentral describes it as "partial 16S ribosomal RNA". It matches the Rfam family "Bacterial small subunit ribosomal RNA", at positions 29 to 523 of the family's 1533-position model. The record is from RNAcentral.
AUUGAACGCUGGCGGCAUGCCUUACACAUGCAAGUCGAACGGUAACGCGGGGCAACCUGGCGACGAGUGGCGAACGGGUGAGUAAUGCAUCGGAACGUGCCCGGUAGUGGGGGAUAACUGCUCGAAAGAGCAGCUAAUACCGCAUACGACCUGAGGGUGAAAGGGGGGGAUCGCAAGACCUCUCGCUAUCGGAGCGGCCGAUGUCGGAUUAGCUAGUUGGUGGGGUAAAAGCCCACCAAGGCAACGAUCCGUAGCUGGUCUGAGAGGACGACCAGCCACACUGGGACUGAGACACGGCCCAGACUCCGACGGGAGGCAGCAGUGGGGAAUUUUGGACAAUGGACGCAAAUCUGAUCCAGCCAUGCCGCGUGCGGGAAGAAGGCCUUCGGGUUGUAAACCGCUUUUGUCAGGGAAGAAAUCUUCUGAGUUAAUACCUCGGGAGGAUGACGGUACCUGAAGAAUAAGCACCGGCUAACUACGUGCCAGCCGCCGCGGUAA